This 301-nucleotide ribosomal RNA is filed under the name uncultured bacterium. Its description in RNAcentral is "partial 16S ribosomal RNA". It matches the Rfam family "Bacterial small subunit ribosomal RNA", at positions 509 to 807 of the family's 1533-position model. The record is from RNAcentral.
CAGCAGCCACGGGAAUACGAAGGGGGCUAGCGUUGUUCGGAAUUACUGGGCGUAAAGCGCACGCAGGCGGCUCGAUAAAUUAGAAGUGAAAGCCUUGGGCUUAACCUGAGAAUUGCUUUUAAGACUGUCGAGCUAGAAUCCAGAAGAGGGUAGUGGAAUUCCGAGUGUAGAGGUGAAAUUCGUAGAUAUUCGGAAGAACACCAGUGGCGAAGGCGACUACCUGGUCUGGCAUUGACGCUCAUGUGCGAAAGCGUGGGGAGCAAACAGGAUUAGAUACCCCGGUAGUCCCUGUCUCUUAUAC